This 474-nucleotide ribosomal RNA is filed under the name Pseudomonas sp. NN018603. Its description in RNAcentral is "bacterial SSU rRNA". It matches the Rfam family "Bacterial small subunit ribosomal RNA", at positions 30 to 497 of the family's 1533-position model. Lineage: Bacteria; Pseudomonadati; Pseudomonadota; Gammaproteobacteria; Pseudomonadales; Pseudomonadaceae. The record is from RNAcentral.
AUUGAACGCUGGCGGCAGGCCUAACACAUGCAAGUCGAGCGGUAGAGAGAAGCUUGCUUCUNUUGAGAGCGGCGGACGGGUGAGUAAUGCCUAGGAAUCUGCCUGGUAGUGGGGGAUAACGCUCGGAAACGGACGCUAAUACCGCAUACGUCCUACGGGAGAAAGCAGGGGACCUUCGGGCCUUGCGCUAUCAGAUGAGCCUAGGUCGGAUUAGCUAGUUGGUGAGGUAAUGGCUCACCAAGGCGACGAUCCGUAACUGGUCUGAGAGGAUGAUCAGUCACACUGGAACUGAGACACGGUCCAGACUCCUACGGGAGGCAGCAGUGGGGAAUAUUGGACAAUGGGCGAAAGCCUGAUCCAGCCAUGCCGCGUGUGUGAAGAAGGUCUUCGGAUUGUAAAGCACUUUAAGUUGGGAGGAAGGGCAGUUACCUAAUACGUAUCUGUUUUGACGUUACCGACAGAAUAAGCACCGGC